UACGUAGGGUGCAAGCGUUAAUCGGAAUUACUGGGCGUAAAGCGCGCGCAGGCGGCCGUGCAAGCAUGGCGUGAAAGCCCCGGGCUCAACCCGGGAGGGUCGCGGCGAACUGGGAGGCUUGAGGCCGGUAGAGGUGGGUGGAACUCCUGGUGGAGUGGUGAAAUGCGUAGAGAUCAGGAAGAACACCCGUGGCGAAGGCGGCCCACUGGGCCGGUGCUGACGCUGAGGCGCGAAGGCGUGGGGAGCGAACGGG
This 253-nucleotide ribosomal RNA is filed under the name uncultured bacterium. RNAcentral describes it as "partial 16S ribosomal RNA". It matches the Rfam family "Bacterial small subunit ribosomal RNA", at positions 524 to 776 of the family's 1533-position model. The record is from RNAcentral.